RNAcentral lists this unclassified non-coding RNA (380 nucleotides) under uncultured fungus. RNAcentral describes it as "partial contains 5.8S ribosomal RNA and internal transcribed spacer 2". The stretch from base 1 to 133 matches the Rfam family "5.8S ribosomal RNA", at positions 22 to 154 of the family's 154-position model. The record is from RNAcentral. Lineage: Eukaryota; Fungi.
UGGCUCUCCCAUCGAUGAAGAACGCAGCGAAAUGCGAUAAGUAAUGUGAAUUGCAGAAUUCAGUGAAUCAUCGAAUCUUUGAACGCACCUUGCGCUCUUUGGUAUUCCGAAGAGCAUGCCUGUUUGAGUGUCAUUAAAUUCUCAACCUUGAAAGGCUUGUCUUUUCAAUGGCUUGGAUGUGAGGGUUUUGCUGGCUUCCUUCAGUGGAUGGUCUGCUCCCUUUAAAAGCAUUAGUGGGAUCCUUUGUGGACGGUCACUUGGUGUGAUAAUUAUCUACGCCGUUUGUACUGUGAAGCAAAACUUGUGGGAACCUGCUUAUAACCGUCUGUAAUGGACAAUUUUGAACCUUUGACCUCAAAUCAGGUAGGACUACCCGCUGA